Molecule: long non-coding RNA, 7122 nt
Filed under: Homo sapiens (human)
Lineage: Eukaryota; Metazoa; Chordata; Mammalia; Primates; Hominidae
Description: HSALNT0374531
Source: RNAcentral
GGAGGAGUUAUAACAUAUCUCCCCUCCUUGAAAAAUGAUACUUUUAAUGAUAACCCUAAAGAGCAUCAGUGAAAAUUAAAUUUAUAAUAUCCACUUACAUAUUAAGUAUGUUUAAAAUGUUGUAAUUCUUUUGUAAUUGAUAAUCUAUUUGUAGUAUCUAUAGACCGAUGUACCAAGGCAGUAAAACAUCACAAUUUAACUUUUAUACUUUUUUAUUUUCUUGGAAUACAAUGUACAUGUCCCCAUAGAAAUGUUUAAACAGUAGUUAGUGACUGAUUUCAGACAAAAAAAAAUGCUAUUAAUUCAUUUACUUAGGAGUUCAGAAGAGGUAAGGUAUGCUGAGGAACUCUCUCACAUUCAAGCACACACACACACACACACACACGCGCACACACACACACCUGUGGAAUAAGCAUCUCUCACUCCCCUUUAUGCUGAAUGAACUUGCCAAGGGCUUCCGUUGGUAGUGGCCAUUACAGAUGUCCUCUUAUGCUGGAUUUGGAACAGGACAUGAGAGGAGAGUCAGGCUUGGACUGGCACAGGAAAUGAGGAUUCUGCCAAAGUAAGAGGGGAUCCGGGUGCCCUCUGAAGAGCUGAGACUCAGUGCCUUGUCAGAAGGGCUUCUCGUGGGCUCAAGGGAGAAAGGGAGAAGGGCUAAGAUUUCCAUGAGAUGGAUGAGAGAGGGCCUUCAGAUCCCAGGACUCUUAACAUGGAGGAUGUUCACUAAAGGGUAGGGAAACGGGGCUCUCAAAACACCGGAACCAACUUGUAGCAGCUGCUUGAUCUAACAUGGAAAUAGCAGCUCAGACAUUUUCAUUGCUAGACAUUCUGAAGAAAUAUGAAAUUUUCUGAAUAUUAAGAGACCCCAUCAUCACCUCUGUAUUCAAAAUGUCUUUUCAUUUAUGCUGUCAGAAGAUGAUUAGAAAUAAAAUUUGAAGUGAAACCGUACACAAUUUUUACCUAGAUUUAUCAUCCUUCUUUGAAAAAUAUUCUUGACUAUAUUCGUUACUCUGAGCCUUUUCAACAUUCUGUUUUGUACAAUUCAAUCAUACUAUUGAAUAAUAAUGUGAUAAUAUGUGAAAUUUACUAUUUUUUGGAUUAUCUAUCUAACUUUUUCUACUCUAAUGUAAUACAAUUCUGUUUGGUUAUUUAAUAUCACCACUUGCUCACUCAUUACCUGUUCAUUGGGAUUGUUUACAGGUAAUAUUUAAGACGUAGAAGCAGAAGACAAUGCUACAAUGUAGGACAAUAAAAAUACUAUUUCAAAUGUGUCAUCUCUAUACUGGCCCCAAAAGAGGAAUGGUACGUUUAACGGAAGAGAAUUAUAUUACAAAUCAUGCUUAAAUAAUAAAAGCCAUCAUUUAAGAAAGAGUCUCCUCCAGAACUGUACUUAAAAUAAUUUAUUUGGGAUGCAAAAGUACUUUCAAUUGUCUCUAUUCAUCUUUACGGUCCUACCUUCAAGAGCUAGUUACAAAUCUCAUUCUGCAUUUUGUCAGCUACUUGAACCCAGCUCUCUCAUUUAUGAACUUGAACUUCAAUUCUAUAUUGUCAGAAUAGUGCAUUAUUACAGUGUUAGGAGUGUAUGUCUAUUUUAAUGGAAACUAUAUUUAUGAUUUCAAAUGAAAUCAAUUAUAAGUCCAAUAUAAAUCACAAAUUGAUUAAUGUGGUCUCUUGCCAGUUUAAGAGGCUUUUAAAGGCUCUGCUGCAGAUGGCUGACUGCAGUGUUUUGAUCCGUAGUUUUUUAGAAUUUUUGGAACAGUCAAAACUGGGUAUUAAUGUUCUGUGGCAAUGUUUUAGGCAUUUUACUAGGUAAAGGAUUCAAUAUCAGGAGGGAAUUACAUUCUGUUUACUAAUUUCUUUUCCUGUAAUAUUUUAGUAAGGUUAUCUUUACUGAAAAUAUGUCAUUUUUAUUACUAUUACUGCAUUACAUAUUUUCAUGAGUGUAACUUAGUUCAUGCCCCUUAUUUGAUUUUUCAAAGAGGAAAGAACAAGCUAGAUUUCUUGCUUUACUAGCCAUUAAUAGAACCUUAAACUUGAUCAUAAGUAAAAAUAGAUCAUUUUGUUAGAAUUAAUACAAUAAUCUCAAAGAUAUAAUUACUAUAAGUGGAAAUUAUAAUACUUAUUUUAUUUUAGCUUAAUUAGAAUUUAUGCCCUUGAAAAUAAAAUGUGAAAAAGCAAUAUAAAUAUAUUUUCUCUGAAUUUUUCCUUUACAACUAUAUAUAUCAAUCAUUAUACAUAUCAUCUAUACAUACACCUUGAUUAUUAAUGAGUCUAAUAUUUUUAACUUUAGCUCCUAGAGUCACCCACAGGAAGGAGAUCUUGAACCCUUUCAAUGAUACCCACUUCACUUUUACCAUAGUCCUUCACAUAGUGAUAUUUAAGCCUCUCAGUUUCCAUAAAGCAGUUGUAUAAAGAGAUCAGAUCUAUUUACAUGCUAUGUCUAGAUUGGCCAAAUUUUCUCAACUAAAAUGUAAAAGAGAGAGAGAGAUAGAAAGAUGGAAAAAGAGUAAGGGAAGGAAGGAAGGAUAAGAGAGAAGGGAUGGAAAUAGAAAGGAAGGGGGGAUAAUUUUACACAUAACUCGUAGGGUUUUCAUGAUAAUUUAAAAGAAUACGAAGAAUCAUUUAUUUUAGAAUGCCUUUAUUGUUUAUAGGAUUAAGCAUGUUAUGUAUCAGUUAGGAUCUAACCUCUUCCUACAAGGCCGUUUCCUUGAGUAACUAUGCACAUUUAAGUACCUGAUACAGUAGGAACUCAAUAAGUAGUAGACACCUCUACCAUUACUAUUAAAAAUGUACUGGUAAAAGUGUUUGAAAUGCAGUGUGAAUGAAGCUCUAAAAUUCUGCUAUUGAUGUCCUGUGGCCUGGCUUGCCUUAUUAUAUUCCAACCUUUGUUUACUAGUAAAUAGAUCAUCCCAAAUCAGUGCAAACAUGUACCUUCCUUAGCAGUAUUCUAGAACUACCUGAAAAAAAUCAGAAAAAUAUAAAGCUUUGGUUAGAUUAUUAAGAUGAAAUAAAACAUAGGAAAUAAUAUAGACAUUUAUAAAAUUUUAAUUUUUUUUUGUCUCAAAAGCAACUCAAGUAAAAUACCUAUUUGUGGAAGGACCUGACUGACCGUGGUUAGUUUGACCAAUGAUGGUAAUUACUUUACAGUGCAUAGUUAUUCAAGGAAAGAGCCUGGAGAAAGAGGUUAGAUCUCAACUGAUACACAAUAGGCUUAAUCUGAUCAGCAAUAUAGAAUUUUUUUAAGACCCUGAUCCCUCUUAAAUCUGGAGUUAGAGUAUUACUUCCUCAUUAUAGCUGACCUGACCAAAAAUUACUACUCAAAUCAAUUAGUGAAAAUAUUUUUGACAGAUAUUGUGAAAUUUCAUUAUACUGGGGAAUGGAGGAGGAGGGAGAAUGACUUCACUUGGAGGAAUAAAAGUACUGUCCUUCACAACGUCCAGAAGCACAGUUCUCCUUCUCUCCCAAAUGAACUAGCGUUGGUUAUUGGGAUCAUUCACUUGAACCGUAGCUGAGGUUCCUCCCUGGGAUUUCAAGACAUGUAAGUAUCUUAUAUGUGAAGCAAGAAUUCCGGUACAGUUACUUAGAUACUGUUAAUCACUAUAAUAUCUUUCAUCUUGCAGCCUUAUCUGGAUAGAUAUGCAACCGUUUGCAUUUUCAAUGAACUUCCAAUUUCUAGUGAUUUGGCACAACAGGAAUUGAUUAUAAACUGAACAGGAUAAAAUGGCUGCCUACCUAAUUAUGGAGAUUCCAAAAGUUCUGUAUUUUAAUUGUCAUAAUAGGCAAGAAUUCAGAAGAAACUGUCAUCUUGUAAGUUAGGUAACAGGAUAUUAGAUACAGUUGUCCCGUAUUGCUUCUUGAAACCCUUGAGGCCUAAUUUAGAUAUCUGACUCCCUGACACAGAGAACAUGAUGUGUAGAAGAAAGUUUAAACAUCAAAUUCUUUAGAUUGGUUAAGACCACAUACACAGAAAAUAUUAAGUAACGUGGUGAACUGAAAAAUAUAUUCUGGGGCUAAUCUAAGAGGCUGUGGAGUAAGGACAUCUUGGUAACUAAGUCUAUUUCUAAUUUGGCAGUUCUAAGUUUAAGCGAGUACUAGGAAUACUGGGGGAUAAAUGAGGACCAUUUGUUCCUGAGAGCACUGCCCUGUGGUCAACCAGUCUGUGUUCACAAUGUUUAUUGUAUUACACCAAGACCUGUAAGGUGUACCUGCCUAAAAUAAGAUGGCUCCCAGUAGAUGCAAUGAAUAUCUGCAGCCAUCUGUAUAUAAGCCUGGCCACAGAAGGAAGACUUUGAGCUUUCUCAAAAGAUCUGAUAUGGUUGUCGUUCACUUAGACUUAUCAUUUGCAAUUGUGUGUUUACUUCUGAGGGCUUUAUAGGGUGCCUAUGAAUUUAAUCCUCUGUCUAUCACUUAAAAUAGUGUGGAUUUUCCUGCUUUAUAUCCCAACUAGCUGGCUUCUUCUUGCAUCCUUUAAAUAAGCAAACAUACUUGAUUUACCUCAGUCAUGCAUGUCUGGUCUCCGUCAGUGUAAAGCUCUUAUUUACAUUAGUAGAAUACCUUGAUACUAAGGUCUUAUUAUUUCAGUUGAUUCACUCAACUCCUAGAAAUGGAACAAAAUAUCUGUUUUGAUUCCCAUUUUAGAUUGAGGAAACUCUGCCAUAGUUGAUUAAGAAAAUUAUCUGAAGUCUUCAUGCAGGUAAGAGACAGAUUAGAGAUGUAAGAGAAUGUGUUAUAAUUCAACUCCAGCACAUUUUUUAUUAUAUCUCAUUGUCAUACAACAUAACUUCCAAAUUUAGAAUUUAGUUUAUGGCAUUGUUAUAAAGAUCACAAGAACUGAUACACAUGAAAGUGGUUUUUGCACAUAAGACUAUUCAAGACUCUGGUUCAUAGAAAGUCUCUUGCCCUUGCCUCCAGCCCCUAAUAAAUAGUUUUGCGAUAAAAUAAAAAAAAAAAAACUUCCUAUUAAGGUCAACGUUAUUAUUUUCAAAAUAUCGAAAUUAAAAUAUGACAAUGACCUUUAAUCUAAAUAAUUAUGUGGUGUGGCCGGGUACGGUGGCUCACGCCUGUAAUUCCAACACUUUGGGAGGCCAAGGCAGGUGGAUCACUUGAGGUCAGGAGUUUGAGACAGGCCUGGCUAACAUGGAGAAACCCUGUCUCUACCGAAAACACAAAAAAGCCAGGCAUGGUGGUGUGUGCCUGUAGUAGUAGCUACUUGGGAGGCUGAGGCUGGAGAAUCACCUGAACCUGGGAGGCAGAGGUUGCAGUGAGCCGAGAUUGCACCACUGCAGUCCAAACUGGGUGACAGAGUGAGACUCUGUCUCAAUAAAUAAAUAAAUAAGUAAAUAAAUAAAUAAAUAAAUAAAUAAAUAAAAUAAAAAUAUAUAUGUAUGUGGCGGGACCUGGGCAAUGGGUGUUUUGAGAGAAGUACAUAUAAUUGAAGAAAACAGGAAAACAAGAUAAUGAUGAUAUAAUAAAUAUUAAUUUUGGCUUAAGACCAGUACAUUUAAAGGUAAAAUUGAAUAAGGCAAAAAUAAAUUCUAUCAAAAAUAAGCUUAUCCUGGAAAGUCCUGUUUAGAAAGAGCCAGCUGAUCUGGAUUAAUCUAAUAAAUGCUGAAUCCAAAGAAAUGUACCUGAAUACAGAAUUGUGUAGAUUGAGAACUAAGGAAAAUAUACUAUCUUCUUUCAGAAAACCUUCUGAAUAAAUAUUCCCAAGAAAAGUUACUUGAGUCUAUCCUUUUCUAUUGGCUAUCUUUAAAGCACCCUUUCCCAAGUCAAGGUAAUAAAUAAAAACUGUGCUUAUAUUACUAUUAAUUUGGCUUCUUGUAUUUUAAAACCUUUAUUUCAUUCAGUAAAUCUAAAUGUGAUUUUUAUUCUUGAGUGAUGUAUUAAAAUCGUACCUUGGCACUGCAUGUCUCCAUAACUACAUGCAUAAAUAAGGAAACAUUAGUUGAUCUCAACCUCGAAGUCGAUGUAUCCCUGCACUUCAAAAUUUGAAAACUGAUACAUUUCUCAUUGUAUGUGCCAGCUUGAGACAGAUUUUCCAUUAGAUAAAGCUGCAUAUAGCCUAGUUGGUCUACAGUUUUUUCCCAAAUGAAUAAUCAUUAUGUCCCAAAGCAAGUGGUGCAGUCUAGACAGGAAGAGGCAAGUACCUGGAACUGUGAACCGGCUCUAGGUAGAAAGAGUCAAUGACACCUGAUGAGUUGAAGUAAAACUCAGUAGGAAGAAUACAGACAACAGAUGGUAAUGCAGGAAAACAUUUGGCCUCCUGACUGCCCAACACAAUGUAAUGAAGGUGCCUCUACAGGCAGUACUCUGAAACUCAGUGGAGCAGAUGAUAAAUCUGUCACAAUUUUCCAUCCCAGUUACAGAGCCAGCAUUCAGGAAGAAUUAGCCAAUUCUUAGAAGGAGAGACAAAUAAGAGCAAAACAGAAAUCCAGCCUUAGAAGACUCUGGUACUAAUUAGAUAGCAAAAGCAGGAGUUUGGACACUCAAAAUAACGGAAAGAGGAUGUGGAAGGAGAACUUAGUCCGAGUAAAGGUCACAAGAGAUGUAAAACUGGAGACAGAGUUGGAAUUAGUGUAGUGGAAAGACUAACUUACUCCUGAGUCUCCUGAUUGUUGGAGCAUCUUAAAUCCCUCUUAACUAAAGUCAGGCUUGGUCCUAAGCCUGGAACAAGACAUGGGAAUUAUGUUGAUGAAGUAAUGUGUCUCUCAAUAGAAAGAACAUGAAUAUAUUUGGCAACUGAGGAGCCAGUAGGUCCUAAAAUGAUGACAUAGUCAUUUGGAUUAACUCCUGAUUUCUUAAUAGCCACUUGACUUUAACAAGUAUAAACUGGGAACUUACUCCAGCUCUUAGGUAAGUGAGUUUUGCUUGGCUAGACUUUUCACAAGCAUGUUUAGUUAAUAUUAACAGUAUUACAACUUAAUGUCGCAGCUGAUCUCUAGAAGUCAUUGGUCUAGAGAAAUCUUAAAAUUUAAAAAGGAAAUUGAAUCCUGAAAGAGGUGCUCAAGAGAAAAUGAGGAAUAAUAUAUAAAUGAGGACACACAUCAUUUCUUCAAUUUUUCCUACAUUUGUUGAGUUCCUACCUAACAUAGCAGGAUCGAGCAACUAAAAUCACUAACACAA